GUCCAGACUCCUACGGGAGGCAGCAGUGGGGGAUAUUGCACAAUGGGGGAAACCCUGAUGCAGCGACGCCGCGUGGGUGAAGAAGCGCCUCGGCGCGUAAAGCCCUGUCAGCAGGGAAGAAAAUGACGGUACCUGAAGAAGAAGCCCCGGCUAACUACGUGCCAGCAGCCGCGGUAAUACGUAGGGGGCAAGCGUUAUCCGGAUUUACUGGGUGUAAAGGGAGCGUAGACGGCAGUGCAAGUCCGGAGUGAAAGCCCGGGGCUCAACCCUGGGACUGCUCUGGAAACUGUAAAGCUGGAGUGCGGGAGGGGCAGGCGGAAUUCCUGGUGUAGCGGUGAAAUGCGUAGAUAUCAGGAGGAACACCGGCGGCGAAGGCGGCCUGCUGGACCGUAACUGACGUUGAGGCUCGAAAGCGUGGGGAGCAGACAGGAUUAGAUACCCCAGUAA
RNAcentral lists this ribosomal RNA (447 nucleotides) under uncultured bacterium. Its description in RNAcentral is "bacterial SSU rRNA". It matches the Rfam family "Bacterial small subunit ribosomal RNA", at positions 329 to 793 of the family's 1533-position model. The record is from RNAcentral.